This 28-nucleotide ribosomal RNA is filed under the name Phytomonas sp. Lima. RNAcentral's name for it is "partial large subunit ribosomal RNA". The record is from RNAcentral. Lineage: Eukaryota; Euglenozoa; Kinetoplastea; Trypanosomatida; Trypanosomatidae.
ACAGACCUGAGUGUGGCAGGACUACCGC